This 96-nucleotide ribosomal RNA is filed under the name Acanthosepion pharaonis. Lineage: Eukaryota; Metazoa; Mollusca; Cephalopoda; Sepiida; Sepiidae. The record is from RNAcentral.
CAAUCACCGGUUAACGUUCGAUCACCGAAGUCAAGAAACAUUGAGCAUGGUCAGUACAUAGAUGGGUGACCUCUUGGGAAUGCCACGUGCUGUAAU